This 1398-nucleotide ribosomal RNA is filed under the name Peltospira smaragdina. Its description in RNAcentral is "16S ribosomal RNA". The stretch from base 655 to 1398 matches the Rfam family "Archaeal large subunit ribosomal RNA", at positions 1423 to 2908 of the family's 2987-position model. Lineage: Eukaryota; Metazoa; Mollusca; Gastropoda; Neomphalida; Peltospiridae. The record is from RNAcentral.
AGGUGGUUGUUAGACCUGUUUUUAAUAGUAUUCUUGUUUUUAGAUAUUUUUUUUAAAAAAUAAAAGAAAAAGCAUUUUUAUAAAGUGUAUUGUUGAAAGAAAUUUUUUUAUAAACUAGAGUGAAAGAGUACCGUGAGGGAAUGAAGAAAAUUUUAGGAAAGAAGAAAUUAAUGUUUGUACCUUUUGUAUGAUGGUUUAUCUAGAGAGAGAUAUAGAUUUAUUUUCCCGAAAUAAGUUGAGCUAUUAAGUUUUUAUGUCAAUGUAGAAAGAUUGUAUAGAAAGAAUUUAAUAGAAAUGAAAUAUUAGCCGCAACUUAGGAUAGCUGGUUGGUUAAUAAAGGUAUUUAAGUACCUGUUUUCGGAAGAUAAAUGUUUUAGGCUAUUUAUGCUUAGAAUAAGACGAACAACAUAGAGAGAAAAGGAUAAGCUUUUUUCUUUAGAUAAAAGUUUUUUUAAAAAGUAAUUAAAUGUGGGCUUAAAAUUAGUCAUCAAUUAAAGAAAUUGUUAUAAAUUAUAAUAAAAAAAUAUAACAUUGUUAGAAAAUUUUAUUCUUGUUUAUUAACUAUUUUUAAGAAAUUAAGAUUUAAGAGUAUUUCUGAUAAAAUGAGUAUUUGGAAAAAUUAUUCUUUGUAGUUUUAAAGUUAGAAGGAAAAAAAACAUUUUUAUUUUAAAAUAGGUAAAAGGAAUUCGGCAAAAAUCUGUUUCGCCGGUUUAUCAAAAACAUGGCUCUUCGUUCUAUGAAGAUGAGGAGUCGGACCUGCCCAGUGAGCAGUAAGCUUUAACGGCCGCGGUACCCUGACCGUGCAAAGGUAGCAUAAUCAUUUGCCUUUUAAUUGAAGGCUGGUAUGAAUGGUUUGACGAAAACGGAGCUGUCUCUUAUCUACUAUCUAAAAAUUAAUUUUGAUGUGAAGAAGCAUUAAUAAUUCUAAAAGACAAGAAGACCCUGUUGAGCUUUAAUAAGAGAAAAAAAUAAGAAUAUGAAUCAAAAUAAUAUUUUUUUAGUAUUAUUUUAGUUGGGGCGACUGAGGAACAAAAGAGCUUCCUUUGAUUUUUAUAAUAUAUUUAUUUUGAUCCAGAAAAAUUCUGAUUAAAAGAAUUAGUUACCACAGGGAUAACAGCGUAAUCCUUUUUUAGAGUUCUUAUCGAAAAAAGGGCUUGCGACCUCGAUGUUGGAUUAAGAUUUCCAGUUGGUGCAGAAGCUUUCUUUUGGUUGGUCUGUUCGACCAUUAAAAUCUUACAUGAUCUGAGUUCAGACCGGCGUAAGCCAGGUCGGCUUCUAUCUUUAGAAGAAAGAUAUUUUAAACUAGUACGAAAGGACCGUUUUAAAAUAAAUUUUUUAUAAAAAAGAAAUAAUUUAAUUUUUGUUUAAAAAAUGUUAAGUUGGCAGAAAAUAUGUGAU